RNAcentral lists this transfer RNA (67 nucleotides) under Rhinocoryne humboldti. RNAcentral describes it as "tRNA-Val". It matches the Rfam family "tRNA". Rfam says of the family: Transfer RNA (tRNA) molecules are approximately 80 nucleotides in length. Their secondary structure includes four short double-helical elements and three loops (D, anti-codon, and T loops). Further hydrogen bonds mediate the characteristic L-shaped molecular structure. tRNAs have two regions of fundamental functional importance: the anti-codon, which is responsible for specific mRNA codon recognition, and the 3' end, to which the tRNAs corresponding amino acid is attached (by aminoacyl-tRNA synthetases). tRNAs cope with the degeneracy of the genetic code in two manners: having more than one tRNA (with a specific anti-codon) for a particular amino acid; and 'wobble' base-pairing, i.e. permitting non-standard base-pairing at the 3rd anti-codon position. Lineage: Eukaryota; Metazoa; Mollusca; Gastropoda; Potamididae. The record is from RNAcentral.
UAAGAUGUAGCAUAAAAUUAAUGCAUCUCGUUUACACUGAGAAUAUGCUUAAAUCAAGCCGUCUUAA